Molecule: non-coding RNA, 22 nt
Filed under: Arabidopsis thaliana (thale cress)
Lineage: Eukaryota; Viridiplantae; Streptophyta; Magnoliopsida; Brassicales; Brassicaceae
Source: RNAcentral
UGAAGCUUGCCUUUCGCAUCUU